Molecule: ribosomal RNA, 494 nt
Filed under: uncultured bacterium
Lineage: Bacteria
Description: partial 16S ribosomal RNA
Rfam family: Bacterial small subunit ribosomal RNA
Source: RNAcentral
GACGAACGCUGGCGGCGUGCUUAACACAUGCAAGUCGAACGGAAAGGCCUGUCCUUCCUUGUGUUGGACGGGUACUCGAGUGGCGAACGGGUGAGUAACACGUGAGUGAUCUGCCCCCAACUUGGGUAUAAGCCUGGGAAACUGGGUCUAAUUCCCGAUAGGACUGCAGGGUGGUGCCUGUGGUGGAAAACGAUUUUCUAGUGGUUGGGGAUGAGCUCGCGGCCUAUCAGCUUGUUGGUGGGGUAAUGGCCUACCAAGGCGGCGACGGGUAGCCGGCCUGAGAGGGUGGACGGCCACAUUGGGACUGAGAUACGGCCCAGACUCCUACGGGAGGCAGCAGUGGGGAAUAGUGCACAAUGGGCGGAAGCCUGAUGCAGCGACGCCGCGUGGGGGAUGACGGCCUUCGGGUUGUAAACUCCUUUCGACCGCGAGGAAGCCGCCUGGUUGGAAGGGUGGUGACGGUAGUGGUAGAAGAAGCACUGGCUAACUACGUG